UACGAAGGGGGCUAGCGUUGCUCGGAAUCACUGGGCGUAAAGGGUGCGUAGGCGGGUCUUUAAGUCAGGGGUGAAAUCCUGGAGCUCAACUCCAGAACUGCCUUUGAUACUGAGGAUCUUGAGUUCGGGAGAGGUGAGUGGAAUUCCGAGUGUAGAGGUGAAAUUCGUAGAUAUUCGGAAGAACACCAGUGGCGAAGGCGGCUCACUGGCCCGUUACCGACGCUCAGGCGCGACAGCGUGGGGAGCAAACAGG
RNAcentral lists this ribosomal RNA (253 nucleotides) under uncultured bacterium. Its description in RNAcentral is "partial 16S ribosomal RNA". It matches the Rfam family "Bacterial small subunit ribosomal RNA", at positions 524 to 776 of the family's 1533-position model. The record is from RNAcentral.